CUUUAUUCUAUAUUCCCCAGAGUGAAGUGCUGUGAUUGGUUUGCAGUCUACUAAGAUCAGCCCUUUUAUAUCUACAUGAAAGUGAAUCUGUGUAAGAGAAAACAUUAUCUGCUGCAUGUUAUCAUAACUCCAGCAAUGAAGCAGAUCCUGAAACAUUUAUUUACAUGGACAUCCUGGAGAGCUUCUUCUAGGGUUCUGUCCAGCGUAUCUCUGCAGUGCCAAAUGACCCAGGAGUCCUGGCAAAGACAGUCUUCAGGCUUUGGCAAUGGAGGGUUGGCCUACGUUUUCUCAACUGCCCAAAUAUUUUGACUUUCAAUCUCAGCAGGCAUCUCCUUCUCUUCCAUAGCAACAGUACAUUUGGGGGAUUAUUGUGUUUUUUUUCCCUUCUACCUCCUGUGGGAGAAUAACACUAAUUCUAAGCUGGGAUAAAUGGCUAGAAUUCAGUAUGGCUCUGUUAGACUCUAUUUCUAGAGUAGAGUUAGACACAAUACUCAAAGACAGGCCUUCUUUUGGAGUCCUAGGGAAAAACAUAACCAAAUUAAAUAAAAUGUCAAUUUCUGGCUUGUAUUUUCUUUUCCAGUUGUGAUGUAUGUUAAAAUGAUAUUUUCCCUUUAAGAAAUGAAC
RNAcentral lists this long non-coding RNA (624 nucleotides) under Pan paniscus (pygmy chimpanzee). RNAcentral describes it as "lncRNA (ENSPPAG00000045504.1)". Lineage: Eukaryota; Metazoa; Chordata; Mammalia; Primates; Hominidae. The record is from RNAcentral.